This 459-nucleotide ribosomal RNA is filed under the name uncultured bacterium. RNAcentral describes it as "partial 16S ribosomal RNA". It matches the Rfam family "Bacterial small subunit ribosomal RNA", at positions 338 to 795 of the family's 1533-position model. The record is from RNAcentral.
CCUACGGGAGGCUGCAGUGAGGAAUAUUGGUCAAUGGUCGGGAGACUGAACCAGCCAAGCCGCGUGAGGGAGGAAGGUACAGAGUAUCGUAAACCUCUUUUGUCAGGGAACAAAGACUGGGACGCGUCCCCGGAUGAGUGUACCUGAAGAAAAAGCAUCGGCUAACUCCGUGCCAGCAGCCGCGGUAAUACGGGGGAUGCGAGCUUUAUCCGGAUUUAUGGGGUUAAAGGGGUGCGCAGGCGGUCUUUUAAGUCAGCGGUAAAAGGCCGGGGCUCAGCCCCGGCCCGCCGUUGAAACUGGCAGUCUCGAGUGGGAGAGAGGUAUGCGGAAUGCGCGGUGUAGCGGUGAAAUGCAUAGAUAUCGCGAAGAACUCCGAUUGCGAAGGCAGCAUGCCGGCUCCACACUGACGCUGAGGCACGAAAGCGUGGGUAUCGAACAGGAUUAGAUACCCUUGUAGUC